GAACGCGUUGGAUCAAAGCCCGUCUCUAUGGCGUGGCUCGGUUAGCGCUUCCAUUUUUUUCUUUAGGUUUCAACGUGCGUUGCCCUCUCGGGGGUGGCGUUGCGUUCCUAAUCGUUUACUGUGAACAAAUUAGAGCGUUCAAAGCAGGUGUCUCUGCCUUGAAUAGUUUAGCAUGGGAUAAUAGAAUAGGACCUUCCGGUUUUAUUUUGUUGGUUUCUAAAGCUGGGGUA
Molecule: ribosomal RNA, 230 nt
Filed under: uncultured fungus
Lineage: Eukaryota; Fungi
Description: partial small subunit ribosomal RNA
Rfam family: Eukaryotic small subunit ribosomal RNA
Source: RNAcentral